GCCGUCGUGGACCAUGGUGGUCACCCUCGUUUAAUUGAAAGUUGUCUGCAUUAGCUUGAACAGGGAGACGGGGGUUCGAUUCCUCUUGACGGCA
This is a non-coding RNA of Mycena latifolia, 94 nucleotides long. The record is from the annotation of a GenBank genome assembly. NCBI's taxonomy places the organism in Eukaryota, Fungi, Basidiomycota, Agaricomycetes, Agaricales, Mycenaceae.